This 204-nucleotide long non-coding RNA is filed under the name Lathyrus oleraceus (garden pea). RNAcentral describes it as "Pisum sativum (pea) long non-coding RNA (PSAT_LNC005238)". Lineage: Eukaryota; Viridiplantae; Streptophyta; Magnoliopsida; Fabales; Fabaceae. The record is from RNAcentral.
UUUCCUUGAAAAGUAUCAAAAUGCUUGCACAUUGUCUCAAAAUUCUUGGUUUCUUGUUGGAUAAGCAACAAAAAUAUAGUGAAAAUGGUGACUGAUCACAACCCCAAACUUAGCUCAUUGCUUUUCCUCAAGUAAUAUCCUAUACGAGAAAGUGUCACUUCCCAAAAUUUGUAUUCUUACCAUGAUACUGUUGAGAUCUUUCGC